Molecule: unclassified non-coding RNA, 402 nt
Filed under: soil metagenome
Description: partial contains 5.8S ribosomal RNA, internal transcribed spacer 2, and large subunit ribosomal RNA
Rfam family: 5.8S ribosomal RNA (bases 1-121)
Source: RNAcentral
GAUGGAGAACGUAGUGAAAUGCGAUAAGUAAUGUGAAUUGCAGAAUUCAGUGAAUCAUCGAAUCUUUGAACGCACCUUGCGCCCUUUGGCUAUUCCGAAGGGCAUGCCUGUUUGAGUAUCAUGAACACCUCAACUCUCAUGGUUCGCCAUGAUGAGCUUGGACUCUGGGGGUCUUGCUGGCCUAUGGUCAGCUCCUCUCAAAUAAAUCAGCUUGCCAGUGUUUGGUGGCAUCACAGGUGUGAUAACUAUCUACGCUUGUGGUUUUCCAUCAGGUAACCUUCAGUGAUGGAGGUUCGCUGGAGCUCAUAAAUGUCCCUCCUCAGCGAGGACAGCUUUUUGAACGUUUGAUCUCAAAUCAGGUAGGACUACCCGCUGAACUUAAGCAUAUCAAUAAGCGGAGGA